RNAcentral lists this ribosomal RNA (250 nucleotides) under uncultured bacterium. RNAcentral's name for it is "partial 16S ribosomal RNA". It matches the Rfam family "Bacterial small subunit ribosomal RNA", at positions 524 to 773 of the family's 1533-position model. The record is from RNAcentral.
UACAGAGACCACAAGCGUUACUCGGAUUCACUGGGCGUAAAGGGUGCGUAGGCGGUUAGGUGUGUCAGGUGUGAAAUCUCGGAGCUUAACUCCGAGGCCGCGCUUGAAACUACCUGGCUAGAGUUUUGGAGAGGUAAGCGGAAUUUCUGGUGUAGCGGUGAAAUGCAUAGAUAUCAGAAGGAACACCAAUGGCGAAGGCAGCUUACUGGACAAAAACUGACGCUGAGGCACGAAAGUGUGGGUAGCAAAA